GGCGCCUUGGCCGAGUGGUUAGGCAGGACUCUGCAAAAGUUCGUACACCGGUUCAAAUCCGGUAGGUGCCUCCA
RNAcentral lists this transfer RNA (74 nucleotides) under Candidatus Saccharimonadota bacterium. Its description in RNAcentral is "tRNA-Cys". It matches the Rfam family "tRNA". Rfam says of the family: Transfer RNA (tRNA) molecules are approximately 80 nucleotides in length. Their secondary structure includes four short double-helical elements and three loops (D, anti-codon, and T loops). Lineage: Bacteria; Candidatus Saccharimonadota. The record is from RNAcentral.